This 1241-nucleotide ribosomal RNA is filed under the name metagenome. RNAcentral's name for it is "bacterial LSU rRNA". It matches the Rfam family "Bacterial large subunit ribosomal RNA", at positions 1564 to 2815 of the family's 2925-position model. The record is from RNAcentral.
UGAAUACGAGAUGCUACGGCGUCGAAGCAGUCUAUGUCAUACUUCCAAGAAAAGCUUGCACUGUCAUAAACAAAUAAUGCCUGUACCAUAACCGACACAGGUGGGUAGGUAGAGUAUACUAAGGGGCGCGAGAUAACUCUCUCUAAGGAACUCGGCAAAAUGACUCCGUAACUUCGGGAGAAGGAGUGCCUUAUUUAUAAGGUUGCAAUAACAAGAUCCAAGCAACUGUUUACCAAAAACACAGGUCUCCGCUAAGUCGUAAGACGAUGUAUGGGGGCUGACGCCUGCCCAGUGCCAGAAGGUUAAAGAAGUUGGUUAGCAUCCGCGAAGCUGAUAACUGAAGCCCUGGUGAACGGCGGCCGUAACGAUAACGGUCCUAAGGUAGCGAAAUUCCUUGUCGGGUAAGUUCCGACCCGCACGAAAGGCGUAAUGAUUUGGAUACUGUCUCGGAGAGGGGCUCGGUGAAAUAGACUUGUCUGUGAAGAUGCGGACUACCUGCACCAGGACAGAAAGACCCUAUGAAGCUUUACUGUAACCUGAAAUUGAAAUUGGACUUUACUUGCGCAGUAUAGGUGGGAGGCGUUGAGAAUAUUCUUGCGGGAUUAUUGGAGCCAUCAGUGAGAUACCACUCUUGUAAUGUUAGAUUUCUAACUUUGUAUCAUUAUCUGGUCAAAGAACAGUUUCAGGCGGGCAGUUUGACUGGGGCGGUCGCCUCCUAAACGGUAACGGAGGCGCACAAAGGUUUCCUCUGAACGGGUAGAAAUCGUAUCUAGAGUGUAAAGGCAUAAGGAAGCUUGACUGUGAGACCUACAAGUCGAGCAGGGACGAAAGUCGGUCUUAGUGAUCUGACGGUGCUGAGUGGAAAGGCCGUCACUCAACGGAUAAAAGUUACUCUAGGAUAACAGGCUGAUCUCCCCCAAGAGUUCACAUCGACGGGGAGGUUUGGCACCUCGAUGUCGGCUCAUCGCAUCCUGGGGCGGUAGUACGUCCCAAGGGUUGGGCUGUUCGCCCAUGAAAGCGGUACGCGAGCUGGGUUCAGAACGUCGUGAGACAGUUCGGUCCAUAUCCGGUGUAGGCGUUAGAAUAUUGAGAGGAGCCUUCUUUAGUACGAGAGGACCGAGAAGGACAUACCUCUGGUGUACCAGUUAUCGUGCCAACGGUAAACGCUGGGUAGCUAUGUGUGGAGUGGAUAACCGCUGAAAGCAUCUAAGUGGGAAGCCCACCUCAAGAUAAGUAUUCUC